Molecule: small RNA, 958 nt
Filed under: Arabidopsis thaliana (thale cress)
Lineage: Eukaryota; Viridiplantae; Streptophyta; Magnoliopsida; Brassicales; Brassicaceae
Description: ATSL224420
Source: RNAcentral
AGGUUUUUAACAAGACAUUAAAGAACACGCAAAUAAUACACUUGAUGAAUAUUAAGAAAUUCUAUCAAUCAUCCAAAUGAAUAUUAUACACUAAUGAUAUUUAGAGAAAUAAAUAAGAUGGUCAAGAUGAAUCAUCUAAAAGAUUCAUGAGCAGAAGAAUGGCGUUGUACUUUAUCCAGAAAUUUGUUCAAGAGAAGAUUUGGCAGACUUAUUCUCAAAUACUGUUUAUUCUCUGUCACAUCUUCUAAUCAUGCAGAGAUUUUACCAACUCAUGAAGCUAGCCGCAAGUGUGUUUGGCUAAGAUCCAUAGUUCACCAUAUACAAGAAGACUGUGGUCUAUAUGCAGGGAAAAAGACUCCAACAAUUAUGUACGAAGACAAUGCAACAUGCAUCGCACAACUCAAAGACGGAUACAUCAAAGGCGAUAGAACAAAGCACAUCCUACCAAAAUUCUUCUACACACACGAUCUACAAAAGAGCGGCGAUGUACGAGUUCUACAGAUCCGUUCGAAUGAUAAUCUGGCUGACUUAUUCACCAAGGCGCUACCUACUGCUACUUUCAAGAAGUUAGUCUAUCGUAUCGGAUUACGCCGUCUCAAAGAUCUCGUCGAAUAUACUCAUAAGGGGGAGUAAUUGUAUGUUGCACUCUUUUUCCCUUAACCAUGGUUUUUCCCAUUGGGUUUUUCUGGUAAGGUUUUUAAUGAGGCAGCAUUUCAAAUACUUUACGAGUUAUGAUACUAUAAUGGUCAUCAGGGGGAGUGUUAUGAAUAAAGAUGGAUGCCCAUUAUAAGGCCCAUCAUCUAAGCCCAUCAUCUAGAUGUUUCUAGGGUUUUACUCUUUCCUUGUACUCCUAUAUAAAGAACCCUUUAUCUCAAUGGAAUAACACACUCAUUUCUUCUAUCUCUUUCUCUGUUUAUAACAGUAAUCACUUUCGUUAGAUAUUUUUCCAUAAUGACAU